AUGUUUCCAGACUGUGCCAAGCAAUUCAAAGAGGUCAAGAAUCAUGCUUCCGGUGAAGAAACAGAGUUACUAAUAGAAGAGCUAAAGCAGAGAGAGGAGGAUGCAACAGAAGCUCAGCAACAAGCCGAUGUAAAGUUGCUCGAGGCUAAAAAACUAGCUUCGCAGUAUCAAAAGGAGGCUGACAAAUGCAGUUCAGGUAUGGAUACAUGUGAAGAAGCUAGGGAGAAGUCAGCAGAGUCGCUGCUCGGUCAAAGGAAAUUAACUGCUUUGUGGGAGGAAAGAGCUCGGGAACUUGGAUGGAAACCCGGGAAUGUCAAACCACACCUGAAUCAGUAA
Molecule: ribosomal RNA, 336 nt
Filed under: Triticum aestivum (bread wheat)
Lineage: Eukaryota; Viridiplantae; Streptophyta; Magnoliopsida; Poales; Poaceae
Description: partial small subunit ribosomal RNA
Source: RNAcentral